GAACAUAUUGUUGCUACCUGCAAAGCCUGUCAAUUAACAAAUGCCACCCACAAUAGGGCCAACCCAGAAAAUAGGCUGAGGGGAAGCCGACCUGGAGCCUAUUGGGAAUUGGACUUCACCAAGGUAAAACCUGGAAGCCUCCAAAGUGUGCACGAGGAUAUCUGGCCUAAAUUAAAAGCCUUAUAUCAAACUGGACCGCCUCCCGAGCCCCAUCGCUAUCGACCAGGAGACUGGGUCUUCGUCCAGAGACACCGACAAAGGGACCUUGAGCCCCGUUGAAAAGGACCCUACGUCACAGUCCUGACCACGCCCACCACUCUCAAGGUCGAGAUCCUCACGCUGUCCUAGAGGACUUCGUUCCAUCAUGGCAGGUGUCCAAAGACCAAGACAAUCCCCUCAAACUCAAGCUGCGUCGUCGAAGGUCAUGAUUGUGGUAACUGUACUUUUGACACUGAUUUUAGGAGGACAGAACCCACAUGCUCCCCUAAAUUUAACCUGGAUGAUCAUCAGUACCGCCACAGGUGACAUUAUUAACAGCUCGUCCAAAGUGAGCCCACCAUUAACCUGGUGGCCUGCUCUAGAGUUUGAUCUCUGUCGGCUAGCCACUGGCAGCUGGGAUAUCGGACACUGGAGCCUAGAGUCACGGGGAAGGCCUGAAUGUGGGGAAACAAAAAAGGGGUGUACCCUCCCCCCCGGUCGAUUCACGAACACCGGGCUGCAACCAUGUAAUUCGCAGGGCAAUAUUACGAGACACCCCCUUCUACAGGGAGGACUCUGCGUUGCCUUAGGUAAAGAAUGUUGCUUCUAUGUAGAUCAUUCAGGAGUGGUCAAAGAGUCCAUGGCUAAAGUUAGGGAAGACAUCGCCAAACGUAAGCGAAAAAGA
This 883-nucleotide long non-coding RNA is filed under the name Heterocephalus glaber (naked mole-rat). Its description in RNAcentral is "lncRNA (ENSHGLG00100039592.1)". The record is from RNAcentral. Lineage: Eukaryota; Metazoa; Chordata; Mammalia; Rodentia; Bathyergidae.